UACGUAGGGUGCGAGCGUUGUCCGGAAUUACUGGGCGUAAAGAGCUCGUAGGUGGUUUGUCGCGUUGUUCGUGAAAACUCGGGGCUUAACCCCGAGCCUGCAGUGGAUACGGGCAGACUAGAGGUAGGUAGGGGAGAAUGGAAUUCCCGGUGUAGCGGUGAAAUGCGCAGAUAUCGGGAGGAACACCGGUGGCGAAGGCGGCAUCCUGGACCGAGAUUGACGCUGAUGAGCGAAAGCUAGGGGAGCAAACGGG
Molecule: ribosomal RNA, 253 nt
Filed under: uncultured bacterium
Lineage: Bacteria
Description: partial 16S ribosomal RNA
Rfam family: Bacterial small subunit ribosomal RNA
Source: RNAcentral